GCUCAUUCCACCAUGGUGUGCUGAGAAGUGGCUCAGGGGAUCAUUUCUGCAUGCUGCUAUCAGGAAAUUCAAUGCUUCCUCCUGACAUCAUACUCUAAAACGGAAAUCCACAAGGUUCAACAUAUAAAGCUCUAUGUUUCCCAGAAUCACAUUCCUGAGAAAUGUAAGGACUUGCCAACAAUUUAUUUUCUCACGGAUAGAAAUGACGCUAUCAAUCCUGUCUGCUGUUCUGAAGAUAUGGAAGAAGUUCUGCCAAAGUUUACAGAGAUGGGUUACAUGAACAAUGAUUUACUUAUGAUCCUCAACAACCUUCUGACCUUUGUGUUCAUUCCACUUUUCUCUGCCAGACAACAACACAUUAGGGCACAGCAAAUUGAAAUUAAUGUGAAAGAAAAUGUAAAUUUAAAGCAGCCAAUUUUGUCGCAGAGUAGCUAUCCAAUCAAAGGCAAGCUGUUAGCAAGCAGUUACAAAUGGUACGGUCAAAUUCAAUUUGCAAUUCA
Molecule: long non-coding RNA, 500 nt
Organism: Erpetoichthys calabaricus (reedfish)
Lineage: Eukaryota; Metazoa; Chordata; Cladistia; Polypteriformes; Polypteridae
Exons: 4
Source: RefSeq, a predicted model, not a curated record